This 393-nucleotide ribosomal RNA is filed under the name uncultured cyanobacterium. RNAcentral describes it as "bacterial SSU rRNA". It matches the Rfam family "Bacterial small subunit ribosomal RNA", at positions 357 to 729 of the family's 1533-position model. Lineage: Bacteria; Bacillati; Cyanobacteriota. The record is from RNAcentral.
GGGAAUUUUCCGCAAUGGGCGAAAGCCUGACGGAGCAACGCCGCGUGAGGGAAGACGGCUCGUGGGUUGUAAACCUCUUUUCUCAGGGAAGAAGCACUGACGGUACCUGAGGAAUCAGCAUCGGCUAACUCCGUGCCAGCAGCCGCGGUAAUACGGAGGAUGCAAGCGUUAUCCGGAAUUAUUGGGCGUAAAGCGUCCGUAGGCGGUUUUACAAGUCUGCUGUUAAAGCGUGCAGCUUAACUGCAUAUCGGCAGUGGAAACUGUAAGACUAGAGUGUAGUAGGGGUAGAGGGAAUUCCCAGUGUAGCGUUGUAAUCAGUGGGUUUAGGGACGCCCAGUCGUCAUGGGGAAUGCUCCGCAAUGGGAUAGAUACCCAGUAGUCAUGGGAUUUCGC